RNAcentral lists this non-coding RNA (141 nucleotides) under Symbiodinium sp. clade D. The record is from RNAcentral. Lineage: Eukaryota; Dinophyceae; Suessiales; Symbiodiniaceae.
AAGAAAGAAAGAACGAAGUGAAUAGAAGAGAAAAGGUAAGGGAAAAGAAGUGACGCACGCUUUUCUCUUCAUUUCACUUCUCUUUCUUUCAGUUCAACAGCCUAUGUGAGGAGUGUUUUGUGUCUUUCUCUUUCAUUCAAC